Molecule: long non-coding RNA, 639 nt
Organism: Sceloporus undulatus (fence lizard)
Lineage: Eukaryota; Metazoa; Chordata; Lepidosauria; Squamata; Phrynosomatidae
Exons: 2
Source: RefSeq, a predicted model, not a curated record
AUUUUUGCUUGCUCUAGAGAUGUUUGCCCAAACACUCGCAAAUAUAGGGAUCUUUUCUACACGGCUGAACUGUGUGGUCAGCAGCUGGAAGGAGAGUCAUUUUGUGUGCUUCAGAUACUGCCUGCAAGCAGAAUAAGGAGGCAUCAGUAACCCACUUCUUGAAUGUCAAUUGCCAUGAAAAUCCUAUGAUGAGACAAUACAAAAUGAAACAAGGGAUAAUGCCAGAAGAUGAGACUGCCAGGUCAGAAGGCACUUAACUAUCUGCCAGAGAAGAGCAGAGGACAAGUUCAAGUAGUACUAUGUCCAGUGAUGCAACUGGACUCAAGCUAAAAGGAUGUUCAACUACGGACAUGCACAGAAGUGAAAGAAAAGUCCGAGGCUGUGCAAUAUAUGCAGCAGGAACACACAAAAUGUGAGAAGCUAGACAUAGACUUGAUAGUGCAAAAGAUUUGGGAGAUUGGGAAGGAGACCAGACAGACAGAAGUGUAAACUAUAAUCAUAAAUGAAAAAAUAAAGAUGAAAUGUCCUACAAAUUAAUGCAAAGUAUUCAAAGUGUAAAGCCUUGAAAUGAAAUUAUAUGAUGUAAAUGAAAGGCAAUGAGGCACUGUCAAAUGCUAAUAAAUACUUUUAGAAGCUGAA